AGUGAACGCUGGCGGCAGGCCUAACACAUGCAAGUCGAACGGAAGCACGGGAAGAGCGUGCUCUUACGGGUAGCGAGUGGCGGAUGGGUGAGGAGUACAUAGGAAACCACUUUUUCGUGGGUGACAACGGAGAGAAAUUGAUGCUAAUAGCGCAUACUUUCUACGGGAGAAAGCAGGGGUGCAUGGCGCCUUGCGCGUCUCAAUUAGACGAAGCCGGAUUGGCUAGUUGGGGGGGUAAGGGCCCACCAAGGCGACGAUACGUAGCUGAUCUGAGAGGAUGAUCAGCCACACUGGAACUGAGACACGGUCCAGACUCCUACGGGAGGCAGCAGUGGGGAAUCUUCGACAAUGGGCGCAAGCCUGAUCCAGCCACGCCGCGUGGGUGAAGAAGGCCUUCGGGUUGUAAAGCCCUUUUGUUAGGGAAGAACAGAAGUGUAUUUAUCCCCCGCUGUUCUGACGGUACCCAAACAAAAAGCCCCGGCUAACUUCGUG
RNAcentral lists this ribosomal RNA (492 nucleotides) under uncultured bacterium. RNAcentral's name for it is "partial 16S ribosomal RNA". It matches the Rfam family "Bacterial small subunit ribosomal RNA", at positions 29 to 507 of the family's 1533-position model. The record is from RNAcentral.